RNAcentral lists this ribosomal RNA (253 nucleotides) under uncultured bacterium. Its description in RNAcentral is "partial 16S ribosomal RNA". It matches the Rfam family "Bacterial small subunit ribosomal RNA", at positions 524 to 776 of the family's 1533-position model. The record is from RNAcentral.
UACGUAUGGUGCAAGCGUUAUCCGGAUUUACUGGGUGUAAAGGGAGCGUAGGCGGCGCGUUAAGUCUGAUGUGAAAACCCGAGGCUCAACCACGGGAGUGCAUUGGAAACUGGCGGGCUGGAGUGCCGGAGAGGUAAGCGGAAUUCCUAGUGUAGCGGUGAAAUGCGUAAAUAUUAGGAGGAACACCAGUGGCGAAGGCGGCUUACUGGACGGCAACUGACGCUGAGGCUCGAAAGCGUGGGGAGCAAACAGG